Molecule: ribosomal RNA, 133 nt
Filed under: uncultured bacterium
Lineage: Bacteria
Description: partial 16S ribosomal RNA
Source: RNAcentral
UUGUUAAUGUCAAGACUCAAGGUUAUUAACCAAAAGCUUUUCUUCACAAUUGAAAGUGCUUUACAACCCUCAGGCCUUCUUCACACACGCGGUAUUGCUGCAUCAGGCUUUCGCCCAUUGUGCAAUAUUCCCC